UGCGUAACGCGUGAGCAACAUGCCCGUAUCAGGGGGAUAAUCCAGGGAAACUUGGUCUAAUACCCCAUAGUAAUCAUAUCAGGCAUCUGGUAUGAUUUAAAGCUUAGGUGGAUACGGAUUGGCUCGCGUGACAUUAGCUAGAUGGUAAGGUAACGGCUUACCAUGGCUAUGAUGUCUAGGGGUUCUGAGAGGAAGGUCCCCCACACUGGAACUGAGACACGGUCCAGACUCCUACGGGAGGCAGCAGUGAGGAAUAUUGGACAAUGGAUGGAAAUCUGAUCCAGCCAUGCCGCGUGAAGGACGACGGUCCUAUGGAUUGUAAACUUCUUUUGUAUGGGAGCAAUAAGGUCUACGUGUAGAUCGAUGAGAGUACCAUACGAAUAAGCAUCGGCUAACUCCGUGCCAGCAGCCGCGGUAAUACGGAGGAUGCGAGCGUUAUCCGGAUUUAUUGGGUUUAAAGGGUGCGUAGGCGGUUGUAUAAGUCAGCGGUGAAAUUUUCCGGCUUAACCGGGAGACUGCCGUUGAUACUGUAUAGCUUGAAUACGGUUGCUGUGAGUGGAAUGUGUGGUGUAGCGGUGAAAUGCAUAGAUAUCACACAGAAUAUCGAUUGCGAAGGCAGCUCACAAAGCCGUUAUUGACGCUGAUGCACGAAAGUGUGGGGAUCAAACAGGAUUAGAUACCCUGGUAGUCCACACUGUAAACGAUGAUAACUAGCUGUCGGCGAUACAUAGUCGGUGGCCAAGCGAAAGCGAUAAGUUAUCCACCUGGGGAGUACGAUCGCAAGGUUGAAACUCAAAGGAAUUGACGGAAGGCCUAAA
Molecule: ribosomal RNA, 818 nt
Filed under: uncultured bacterium
Lineage: Bacteria
Description: bacterial SSU rRNA
Rfam family: Bacterial small subunit ribosomal RNA
Source: RNAcentral